GCCGGGGUAGCCUAGCCUGGAAUGGGCGCCAGACUCAUAACCCAGAAGUCGCGGGCUCGAAACAAACACAAAGCGAGAAUCCCGCCCCCGGCACCA
RNAcentral lists this transfer RNA (96 nucleotides) under Candidatus Bathyarchaeota archaeon. RNAcentral's name for it is "tRNA-Met". Lineage: Archaea; Thermoproteati; Candidatus Bathyarchaeota. The record is from RNAcentral.